GACACGGUAGCUCAGAUGGCUAGAGCGGGCGACUCAUAAUCGCCAGGUCGAGGGUUCGAUCCCCCCCCGUGUCA
Molecule: transfer RNA, 74 nt
Filed under: Candidatus Melainabacteria bacterium
Lineage: Bacteria; Bacillati; Candidatus Melainabacteria
Also listed under: 1 other name
Description: tRNA-Met
Rfam family: tRNA
About the family: Transfer RNA (tRNA) molecules are approximately 80 nucleotides in length.
Source: RNAcentral